Molecule: non-coding RNA, 186 nt
Organism: Deltaproteobacteria bacterium
Lineage: Bacteria; Pseudomonadati; Myxococcota; Myxococcia
Source: Rfam
GAUUUCGCGAGGAAUCGUCCGAAGGAAGCUGGAGCGCAAAGCUAUGAGUCGACGUACAGAAAUGGCAUAUAAGGCCAAGUCUCCGGGUAAGUCAGCAUUUAUGCCCCCUUGUGGGGUACAACAUGACAAAGCCCUGGGUUUAGGAGAUACGGUAAAUGCCGCGAUUGCAUAGCGACAGAUCACGUC